RNAcentral lists this ribosomal RNA (451 nucleotides) under uncultured bacterium. Its description in RNAcentral is "partial 16S ribosomal RNA". It matches the Rfam family "Bacterial small subunit ribosomal RNA", at positions 28 to 506 of the family's 1533-position model. The record is from RNAcentral.
GAUGAACGCUGGUGGCGUGCCUAACACAUGCAAGUCGAGCGAUUCUCUUCGGAGACGAGCGGCGGACGGGUGGGUAACGCGUGGGUAACCUGCCCUGUAGACACGGAUAACAUUCCGAAAGGUAUGCUAAUACGAGAUAACAUGCUUCUAUCGCAUGGUAGAAGUAUCAAAGCUUUUGCGGUACAGGAUGGACCCGCGUCUGAUUAGCUCGUUGGUGAGGUAACGGCUCACCAAGGCGACGAUCAGUAGCCGACCUGAGAGGGUGAUCGGCAACAUUGGAACUGAGACACGGUCCAAACUACUACGGGAGGCAGCAGUGGGGAAUACUGCACAAGGGGCGAAAGGCUGAUGCAGCGACGCCGCGUGAGCGAUGAAGGCCGUCGGGUCGUAAAGCUCUGUCCUCAAGGAAGAUAAUGACGGUACUGGAGGAGGAAGCCCCGGCUAACUACGU